Molecule: ribosomal RNA, 465 nt
Filed under: Vreelandella stevensii
Lineage: Bacteria; Pseudomonadati; Pseudomonadota; Gammaproteobacteria; Oceanospirillales; Halomonadaceae
Description: partial 16S ribosomal RNA
Rfam family: Bacterial small subunit ribosomal RNA
Source: RNAcentral
CCUACGGGUGGCAGCAGUGGGGAAUAUUGGACAAUGGGGGGAACCCUGAUCCAGCCAUGCCGCGUGUGUGAAGAAGGCCCUCGGGUUGUAAAGCACUUUCAGUGAGGAAGAACGCCUGGUGGUUAAUACCCAUCAGGAAAGACAUCACUCACAGAAGAAGCACCGGCUAACUCCGUGUCAGCAGCCGCGGUAAUACGGAGGGUGCGAGCGUUAAUCGGAAUUACUGGGCGUAAAGCGCGCGUAGGUGGCUUGAUAAGCCGGUUGUGAAAGCCCCGGGCUCAACCUGGGAACGGCAUCCGGAACUGUCAAGCUAGAGUGCAGGAGAGGAAGGUAGAAUUCCCGGUGUAGCGGUGAAAUGCGUAGAGAUCGGGAGGAAUACCAGUGGCGAAGGCGGCCUUCUGGACUGACACUGACACUGAGGUGCGAAAGCGUGGGUAGCAAACAGGAUUAGAUACCCUGGUAGUC